This 704-nucleotide ribosomal RNA is filed under the name Pseudomonadota bacterium. RNAcentral's name for it is "bacterial SSU rRNA". It matches the Rfam family "Bacterial small subunit ribosomal RNA", at positions 28 to 727 of the family's 1533-position model. Lineage: Bacteria; Pseudomonadati; Pseudomonadota. The record is from RNAcentral.
AUUGAACGCUGGCGGCAUGCCUUACACAUGCAAGUCGAACGGCAGCACGGGUGCUUGCACCUGGUGGCGAGUGGCGAACGGGUGAGUAAUAUAUCGGAACGUGCCUCAUAGUGGGGGAUAACGCAGCGAAAGCUGUGCUAAUACCGCAUACGCCCUGAGGGGGAAAGCGGGGGACCGUAAGGCCUCGCGCUAUGAGAGCGGCCGAUACCUGAUUAGCUUGUUGGUGGGGUAAAAGCCCACCAAGGCGACGAUCAGUAGCUGGUCUGAGAGGACGAUCAGCCACACUGGGACUGAGACACGGCCCAGACUCCUACGGGAGGCAGCAGUGGGGAAUUUUGGACAAUGGGGGCAACCCUGAUCCAGCAAUGCCGCGUGAGUGAAGAAGGCCUUCGGGUUGUAAAGCUCUUUUGUCAGGGAAGAAACAGCAGCUCUAACACAGUCUGCGAAUGACGGUACCUGAAGAAUAAGCACCGGCUAACUACGUGCCAGCAGCCGCGGUAAUACGUAGGGUGCGAGCGUUAAUCGGAAUUACUGGGCGUAAAGCGUGCGCAGGCGGUUAUACAAGACAGGCGUGAAAUCCCCGGGCUUAACCUGGGAAUGGCGCCUGUGACUGUAUAGCUAGAGUGUGUCAGAGGGGGGUAGAAUUCCACGUGUAGCAGUGAAAUGCGUAGAUAUGGGAGGAAUACCAAUGGCGAAGGCAGCCC